Molecule: transfer RNA, 66 nt
Filed under: Geloina coaxans
Lineage: Eukaryota; Metazoa; Mollusca; Bivalvia; Venerida; Cyrenidae
Description: tRNA-Trp
Source: RNAcentral
GGAGCUUUAAGUUAUGAAGACUGUGGUAUUUCAAGUAUUAAAGAGAAUGUGUUAAUUCAAGUUUCG